AAAGCCUGACGCAGCGACGCCGCGUGUGGGAUGAAGGCCUUCGGGUUGUAAACCACUGUCGGGAGGGACGAAGAUCUGACGGUACCUCCAAAGGAAGCACCGGCCAACUCUGUGCCAGCAGCCGCGGUAAUACAGAGGGUGCGAGCGUUGUCCGGAAUCACUGGGCGUAAAGGGCGCGUAGGCGGCCCGAUAAGUAGGGGGUGAAAUCUUGCGGCUCAACCGCAAGGCUGCCUUCUAGACUGUCGGGCUUGAGCACAGUAGAGGCAGGUGGAAUUCCCGGUGUAGCGGUGGAAUGCGUAGAGAUCGGGAAGAACAUCGGUGGCGAAGGCGGCCUGCUGGGCUGUUGCUGACGCUGAGGCGCGACAGCGUGGGGAGCAAACAGGAUUAGAUACCCUGGUAGUCCACGCCGUAAACGAUGGGCACUAGGCGUCGGGGGGAGCGACCCUCCCGGUGCCGUCGCUAACGCAGUAAGUGCCCCGCCUGGGGAGUACGGCCGCAAGGCUG
This 504-nucleotide ribosomal RNA is filed under the name uncultured bacterium. Its description in RNAcentral is "bacterial SSU rRNA". It matches the Rfam family "Bacterial small subunit ribosomal RNA", at positions 378 to 896 of the family's 1533-position model. The record is from RNAcentral.